AUGGGAUAUCUUUAGUAAUUGCGAAUGAACAAGGAUAUGCUUAGCUUGACAAAUGGAGCUAUUGGCUUUGAAUUGUAUUGUGGAAAUGUAUUACCAACAGAGGUGCAGGUGCCAGCCUAUUGAAAUAAAGCGUCAAUGAGGGUGAGAAUCCUGUUUGUCAUGUGCAGCCCUUUGUGCACGGUGUAUAUUUGCUGAGUCACACUCCUUGGCAUUGGAAUGCAAAGUGGGUGGUAAGUUUCAUGUAAAGGUAAACAUGCAAUUGAGACUGAUAGCACACAAGUACCAUGAGGGAAAUAUGAAAAGGACUUUGAAAAGAAUUAGACUUUGUAUUUGCUGAACACAAAGUAAACAGACUUGAUUUGCUUGGUGGGAGUGUUGCACUUGCUUGACAAGAGCUUUGGGCUGUGGGUGUAAUGAUUCUUUCUUUGCAUGCCAGUUUCUAUUUGUACAUCUGAUUACCUUUGCACAUGAAUGAUAAGUCUCCUGUGGGGGGUGGAUUGCAUGUGCAUGUAAUGAUUUGUGUUUUGAUAAAUGUGUCUGGUGUAUGUGUGUGUUCCUGUGCUUGGGGAUGCUUCCUUCCUUGGACUUACAAGCCCUGACACACACAUGCUGGCAAAAUGCUUCUGCUUGACCCGUCUUGAAACACGGACCAAGGAGUCUAACAGAUGUGCAAGUUUGAAGUGGUAUACCUUUGUGUGCAAUGAAAGUGUCAGCUGGGAUAUGUGCCCAGCACCCAAUUAAUUAGUGACAGAGGUUUGAGUUGGAGCAUAUCUAUUAUGACCCGAAAGAUGAUAUGCCUGACAGAAUGUUCAGACUCUGAGGUUCGAUCGAUACUGACGUGCAACGCGCAUAGCGAAAGACUAAUCGAACCAUCUGUAGCUGUCCCUCCGAUUUCCCUCGAUAGGGAGCCAGAUAGAUG
RNAcentral lists this ribosomal RNA (919 nucleotides) under Alexandrium catenella. RNAcentral's name for it is "partial large subunit ribosomal RNA". It matches the Rfam family "Eukaryotic large subunit ribosomal RNA", at positions 69 to 992 of the family's 3401-position model. The record is from RNAcentral. Lineage: Eukaryota; Dinophyceae; Gonyaulacales; Pyrocystaceae.